Anguilla anguilla (European eel) is the source of this 1516-nucleotide long non-coding RNA. RefSeq lists it as uncharacterized. The record is from RefSeq and is a predicted model, not a curated record. Lineage: Eukaryota; Metazoa; Chordata; Actinopteri; Anguilliformes; Anguillidae. The transcript has 6 exons.
GCUCCAUCAAAGUCGACGAACGACCCCACCUAAUGGCCGGAGGUGUCAUAUCCUGACAUAUAAAACUACCUUAUUGAAUCUCCAGAAAACUAGGGAUUUGCACGGCAAGUCAAAUGAAGAACUACAAAUCCCUGGAAGCACAUAAGUUCUUCACCAGUGGCUGGGUGGAUGUGGUGGUACUGCACCAUAAACCCUCUGCUGACAUUACCGUUUUCAAGACCCAGGUCAAGCCAUCGUGGAGGGUAACCAAUAAAUCCCACAACACUUGGGUUGCUGCUAAGAGGACUGGAGAGAUUAAAGCGGCUCACUGUGAUUGCAUGGCAGGACUGGGAGAAAGUUGUUACCAUGUUGGGGCACUCCUUUUUAAGUCAGAGGCAUCUGUCCGCCUUGGCUACACAAGUAUGACAGCAACCAUCAUCGCCUGUGCCUGGAACAAAGUCUGUACCAAAAAGGUUGAGGCAGACAUGGUGAAGGACAUUAAGUUCUACACAGACAAAGCAAAAAGAAAGAGGGGAGUCGGAAAAAAGUGGAGGGCAGUUCCGAAGCAAAAGAAGAACAUCAACAGUUCCUUGAAAUGUUGUCUGCCACUGGAGAACUGCCCGUUGGUCUCAGCACUUUUAAGGGAUAUGCAGACUCUUUCAGGCCAAAGCCAUGGUUUGAAAAUCUCUUAGGGUUUUCUGAUGACCAAGUAUAGGCAAUAGAAGAAGAAACCAAAGACCAGGCAGAAUGUUCAUCUUGGCACCAGCAAAGAAUUGGGAGGGUGACGGGCACAUCCGCACACAGGGUACUACACACGUCUCUUGAGAAGGCAUCAAAAGCACUGCUGAGAGAGAUUGUGCAGAAAAUGUCUCUGCAAAACCGGCUGACAACUCCAGACAUUGUUUGGGGUAGGGAUCAUGAAAAGGAGGCCAUCAAAACUUAUAAGUAUGCCCUAGGCCUAACGACCACAUGCACAGCACAAACUUCAAUCACCAUAUCAAAUGAGGUAUAUACAGCCCACAAGAGCCUCAAUAUUCUAAGGGCAGGCUUCCGAGUGUGCAAAGACAAGUCCUACAUUGUUGUAAGCUGUGAUGCAUACAUAACCUGUGAUUGCUGUGGGAAAUGAGUGGUUGAGGCAAAGUGUCCCUUGAAGUGGGCCAGUGAUGUUUCACCUGAUCACUGGCCCACAGACAUGGACAUCUGGACACUUUGUUGUCGCUGAGGACCAACCACAGCUACUACACCCAGGUGCAGCUGCAGAUGUAUGUAUGAAAAACAGGCUAUGCAGACUUCAUCACCUGGACCCCAAGGCAAACGGUCAUCUUCUGUGUCCAACGAGAUGAAGAUUUCAUCUGUAAGGCAGUGGAUACCAUCAGCCAUUUCUGGGCCAGGCACAUCUACGCUGGUGGGAACCUCAGUCCCAGAAACAGAGCUGGAGCUUCAGUUGUAAUUUCAGGAGAUUGAGGUGGAGUCCACAGACAGUGCUGUCCCAGACACAGGACAGGAGGUUCAGGGACUUCACAAAGCAGGAAGUGGC